UACGUAGGGGGCAAGCGUUGUCCGGAAUCAUUGGGCGUAAAGAGCGCGUAGGCGGUCCGGUAAGUCCGCUGUAAAAGUCAAGGGCUCAACCCUUGAAAGCCGGUGGAUACUGCCGGGCUAGAGUCCGGAAGAGGCGAGUGGAAUUCCUGGUGUAGCGGUGAAAUGCGCAGAUAUCAGGAGGAACACCAAUAGCGAAGGCAGCUCGCUGGGACGUUACUGACACUGAGGCGCGAAAGCGUGGGGAGCGAACAGG
This 253-nucleotide ribosomal RNA is filed under the name uncultured bacterium. Its description in RNAcentral is "partial 16S ribosomal RNA". It matches the Rfam family "Bacterial small subunit ribosomal RNA", at positions 524 to 776 of the family's 1533-position model. The record is from RNAcentral.